UACGAAGGGAGCUAGCGUUGUUCGGAAUUACUGGGCGUAAAGCGCACGUAGCCGGGCUGAAAAGUCAGGGGUGAAAUCCCGAGGCUCAACCUCGGAACUGCCUUUGAUACUGUUAGUCUUGAGCUCGGGAGAGGUGAGUGGAAUUCCUAGUGUAGAGGUGAACUUCGUAGAUAUUAGGAAGAACACCAGUGGCGAAGGCGGCUCACUGGCCCGAUUCUGACGCUGAGGUGCGAAAGCGUGUGGAGCAAACAAG
RNAcentral lists this ribosomal RNA (253 nucleotides) under uncultured bacterium. RNAcentral's name for it is "partial 16S ribosomal RNA". It matches the Rfam family "Bacterial small subunit ribosomal RNA", at positions 524 to 776 of the family's 1533-position model. The record is from RNAcentral.